Molecule: long non-coding RNA, 348 nt
Organism: Arabidopsis thaliana (thale cress)
Lineage: Eukaryota; Viridiplantae; Streptophyta; Magnoliopsida; Brassicales; Brassicaceae
Product: other RNA
Exons: 1
Source: RefSeq
AAUCUCACGCUUCCACCAUUAAACUUCCAACGCCUCCACCAACUUUCUCAGCUCAAUGUGCAAAUUCUCAGGAAAUCCAAUGAGACCACCAAGUCUCUGAUAUGUGCUCUCAAUAACAUCUCUUCGUGACCUUGCUUUGCCUCCUUACCCUUUGCUGCAGUUUCUUCAAUCUACCAUGACACCUCUACAUCUCAAUCUAAAUCCGAUGUCUCUGCGCUUCAUACUUUGCCGUCUGUAAGCUCAUCCAAUUUCCCUCUUUGAGCCUCACCCUAGAUUUUGUUUUGUACUUCAUUUGUGAGGUUUCAAUCGAUUUAGUGGUUUUGUAAUUUGCUUUUGUUUUGUGUUCAC